This 492-nucleotide ribosomal RNA is filed under the name uncultured bacterium. RNAcentral's name for it is "partial 16S ribosomal RNA". It matches the Rfam family "Bacterial small subunit ribosomal RNA", at positions 29 to 507 of the family's 1533-position model. The record is from RNAcentral.
AGUGAACGCUGGCGGUAGACCUAACACAUGCAAGUCGAACGGCAGCACAGUAAGAGCUUGCUCUUACGGGUGGCGAGUGGCGGACGGGUGAGGAAUACAUCGGAAUCUACUUUUUCGUGGGGGAUAACGUAGGGAAACUUACGCUAAUACCGCAUACGACCUACGGGUGAAAGCAGGGGAUCUUCGGACCUUGCGCGAUUGAAUGAGCCGAUGUCGGAUUAGCUAGUUGGCGGGGUAAAGGCCCACCAAGGCGACGAUCCGUAGCUGGUCUGAGAGGAUGAUCGGCCACACUGGAACUGAGACACGGUCCAGACUCCUACGGGAGGCAGCAGUGGGGAAUAUUGGACAAUGGGCGCAAGCCUGAUCCAGCCAUACCGCGUGGGUGAAGAAGGCCUUCGGGUUGUAAAGCCCUUUUGUUGGGAAAGAAAAGCAGCAGGUUAAUACCCCGCUGUUCUGACGGUACCCAAAGAAUAAGCACCGGCUAACUUCGUG